This 965-nucleotide long non-coding RNA is filed under the name Patiria miniata (bat star). Its description in RNAcentral is "uncharacterized LOC119741864". The record is from RNAcentral. Lineage: Eukaryota; Metazoa; Echinodermata; Asteroidea; Valvatida; Asterinidae.
UUCAGUCACUAUGCGGUCCAGCACCUGUUCAAAUUUCUCUGGAUUGGGAUGUUGUCGAAUCUGUUGAGUCCUUUUGUUAUUUUGAGUGCACUAUCGACUCAUCAGGUUUCUGCAGUAAGGACAUACUAUGCAGAAUUGGCAUCGCCAGUACCAUCAUGGGCUAACUUGAUUGUCUUUGGAGAAGCAAGGCUAGUCUUUUGGUAAACUUUGGUUUUAUCGCGCAUGAAAGAACAAGAACGCAUUCAAGCUUUCCACAUGCAGUGUCAGUGUUGUAUACUUGGAGUUUCAUGGUGCAGUUUCAUUUCCAAUGCAAUCAUCCAGGUAACAUUUUGUCUGAGAUCUGAGGGAGGUGACACACCCUUUUUGGUCAUGUUCGGCGUCUCCAAGCUCCUGCCCCUGCUCGUCUUGCCCUUGAUGCUGCCGUCCAGUUCCACCUUGGCCAACAACCUGCCACCUGGACUACGCCUCGUGGUCGUCCCCGGCUUCCCUGGCUUAAGCAGGUUGUGGAUGCUGUGUAGCUGUCACCAAUCCUUUGCUCUUGAUCAGGGAGGUUGGAGGUCACUACAACUCACUGAUGGUCAAGUGCAGCAGUAAGUAAGUACAUAAGUCAUCAACCACAAAUCUGCAUGUUUCUCCCAGUUGCCAGUGUGCUCUCCAACAGCAUCACUCUGCGUGCCAGUAUUAUUAAUAUUUUUCAGAUGUUCUCAACCACCAAUCGAAAUGUUGUCUCCCAGUUGCCAGUGUGGUCUCCAACAGCUUGACUCAGACUGUGCAUGUUAGUCUUGAAAAUUGUUCAGGUGAGUGAGAUUGUUUGAUUUUAGGGAUUUUUUCCAUUGUGUUCAGUUCAAGAGUGACUUGGAUAACAGGAAUUGAACCAUAUGCACCAGAUGCCAUGCACUUCUAUUACUGUUGCAAACAUGUAACCCUGAGAAAAGAUAAGAGUUUACAAAGUUGUUCUGAUCUGG